This 489-nucleotide ribosomal RNA is filed under the name Bacillus thuringiensis. RNAcentral describes it as "bacterial SSU rRNA". It matches the Rfam family "Bacterial small subunit ribosomal RNA", at positions 72 to 545 of the family's 1533-position model. Lineage: Bacteria; Bacillati; Bacillota; Bacilli; Caryophanales; Bacillaceae. The record is from RNAcentral.
GAUAGACUUGCUCUUAUGAGUUAGCGGCGGACGGGUGAGUACACGUGGGUAACCUGCCCAUAAGACUGGGAUAACUCCGGGAAACCGGGGCUAAUACCGGAUAACAUUUUGAACUGCAUGGUUCGAAAUUGAAAGGCGGCUUCGGCUGUCACUUAUGGAUGGACCCGCGUCGCAUUAGCUAGUUGGUGAGGUAACGGCUCACCAAGGCAACGAUGCGUAGCCGACCUGAGAGGGUGAUCGGCCACACUGGGACUGAGACACGGCCCAGACUCCUACGGGAGGCAGCAGUAGGGAAUCUUCCGCAAUGGACGAAAGUCUGACGGAGCAACGCCGCGUGAGUGAUGAAGGCUUUCGGGUCGUAAAACUCUGUUGUUAGGGAAGAACAAGUGCUAGUUGAAUAAGCUGGCACCUUGACGGUACCUAACCAGAAAGCCACGGCUAACUACGUGCCAGCAGCCGCGGUAAUACGUANGUGGCAAGCGUUAUCGA